Molecule: long non-coding RNA, 1165 nt
Organism: Chenopodium quinoa (quinoa)
Lineage: Eukaryota; Viridiplantae; Streptophyta; Magnoliopsida; Caryophyllales; Amaranthaceae
Exons: 3
Source: RefSeq, a predicted model, not a curated record
UGUAGGCUUUGAAGCUGAUGACUCCCGAGUGGUUUGAGGAGAAGCUGAGCCCGUGGCUGCAUCAGCUGGAGCAACUUUAUAGCUUCGGGUCAAAGGUGGUUGUUCGGGCUCCAAUCGAGAAUAUAGCCACUGAUCCGGUGCUGUCGUUGUCUUCUUCACAGUCGGAGAAAUUUGGUUGCAAAGGAGUUAAAGAGGCGAAUUCUCUUGAUGAAAGAAUUGGGAAAGUCGAUGGUAAGAUAGUUAUGGGUGAUAAGCUCAUAGGUAUUAGAGAUUUGAUUUAAAUUGUUGCCUCUAGAAAAAUGAUGCAACAAAGGAUGAUUAAGCAAGGGAGAAUCGGACUAGUGAGCUUGGAGCAUAGCCAUGAGGAGGGUCCAGUCUAGUAGCCCACCGAGGGCCUUGAGAAAGAUGCACACCCUGAGAAAGAGGCUGAUUCUAGUCAGGCAGAGAUUGCCAGUGAGCAAGUUCCACCUCAUAGUGAAAUAUUUUGUGACCCGCAUGCCGAUAUUUGUUUUCAAGACUUGUGGUCCAACUUUGAUUGAAUGUGAAGGGAUGGAUGCUUUUAUGCAAUUUUGUUAUAACGUGUGUUGCUGCUAGCGUGUCGAGACACAGUACGUUAGGACUGAUGCUAAGAUGUACACCUAGGAGUGCUCCGUCCAAUUCAAGGGACGUAGUAAGAGGCUUAUGUUGGAUUCGUCUGUUAAAGUAUUUAUCCCAGUUUUACAGAAGGAGCAUUGGUGGUGUGCUGCUUUCCAUUUAAAGGAUAAGAAGAUAUGGCUCAUAGAUUCUAUGUACCAGGAACCAGCUCAGACUCACGAUGAUGUCGUAGAUGAAUUGGUAUGAUUCUUUACUUUGCCCUUUAGGGUUGGUUGUUCAUUUUAUUUAUAAAUAUAAUAAAGGCUAACAAGAGAUAGUCAUUAAAGUAGAGGGCCGAAAUAGACAAGUUUUUUAAGCUCCAUGACGACACCUCGGAAGAGGGUGGUAUCAUGACUUGGCCAUCAAAAGUUGUGGAAAUCCUACCUCCGAUUGACAAGUAAUGAUUGUUUAGCAUGUAAUGUUACAUUUUUCAUGUAGAUGGAGCCCCUAAUUGUAGGGUUUUAGGUACUAUAAACAGAUCUACAAGCAUAACACAUAAAGAAUCACAUAAUUCAUACCUUUGAUGCGUGAU